UACGGAGGAGGCAAGCGUUAUCCGGAAUUAUUGGGCGUAAAGCGUCCGUAGGUGGGUGAGGAAGUCUGCUGUUAAAGAGUGAGGCUUAACCUCAUAAGUGCAGUGGAAACUCUUCGUCUAGAGUGCGACAGGGGCAAGGGGAAUUCCUAGUGUAGCGGUGAAAUGCGUAGAGAUCCGGAGGAACACCAGUGGCGAAGGCGACACGCUGGGCCGUACCUGACACUGAUGCGCGACAGCAUGGGGAGCAAACAGG
RNAcentral lists this ribosomal RNA (253 nucleotides) under uncultured bacterium. Its description in RNAcentral is "partial 16S ribosomal RNA". It matches the Rfam family "Bacterial small subunit ribosomal RNA", at positions 524 to 776 of the family's 1533-position model. The record is from RNAcentral.